GCGGGGGUAGCUCAGCCGGAUAGAGCAACGGUUUUCUAAACCGUCGGUCACGGGUUCGAGUCCCGUCCCCCGCGCCA
Molecule: transfer RNA, 77 nt
Filed under: Opitutaceae bacterium
Lineage: Bacteria; Pseudomonadati; Verrucomicrobiota; Opitutia; Opitutales; Opitutaceae
Also listed under: 1 other name
Description: tRNA-Arg
Rfam family: tRNA
About the family: Transfer RNA (tRNA) molecules are approximately 80 nucleotides in length. Their secondary structure includes four short double-helical elements and three loops (D, anti-codon, and T loops).
Source: RNAcentral